GUGGAUUUUUCUCUAUGACUCCACAAUCGCAGCCAAAUUGCCGGCUUGAUUUGUGCCAACCGUCGUUAGAAUUUUCCGGCAAUGCGUAUCGGCAUAUGCCGUUCACGGCGUUGCUUUUACAGCCGGUGACCGCCGAUGACGGCGAAGAGAAAGUCGCCGAAGAAGAUGAGAAACAGUAGAGAUAUGGAUAAGUUUUAAUCCUUAUCUUUUUGUGAUAUAGACUAAUGGCA
Molecule: unclassified non-coding RNA, 230 nt
Filed under: Hevea brasiliensis (rubber tree)
Lineage: Eukaryota; Viridiplantae; Streptophyta; Magnoliopsida; Malpighiales; Euphorbiaceae
Source: RNAcentral